Molecule: ribosomal RNA, 468 nt
Filed under: uncultured bacterium
Lineage: Bacteria
Description: partial 16S ribosomal RNA
Rfam family: Bacterial small subunit ribosomal RNA
Source: RNAcentral
GACGAACGCUGGCGGCGUGCUUAACACAUGCAAGUCGAACGGAAAGGCCCUGCUUUUGUGGGGUGCUCGAGUGGCGAACGGGUGAGUAACACGUGAGUAACCUGCCCUUGACUUUGGGAUAACUUCAGGAAACUGGGGCUAAUACCGGAUAGGAGCUCCUGCUGCAUGGUGGGGGUUGGAAAGUUUCGGCGGUUGGGGAUGGACUCGCGGCUUAUCAGCUUGUUGGUGGGGUAGUGGCUUACCAAGGCUUUGACGGGUAGCCAGCCUGAGAGGGUGACCGGCCACAUUGGGACUGAGAUACGGCCCAGACUCCUACGGGAGGCAGCAGUGGGGAAUAUUGCACAAUGGGCGGAAGCCUGAUGCAGCAACGCCGCGUGCGGGAUGACGGCCUUCGGGUUGUAAACCGCUUUCGCCUGUGACGAAGCGUGAGUGACGGUAAUGGGUAAAGAAGCACCGGCUAACUACGUA